GGGCGCUGGCCGCACAUCAGAGGCCCGCGGUGAGGGCUGUUUUGCUCAGGAAGCUGGGGACAUGUGUCACGGUGGAGAACAAACCGGGGCACAGAGGUGCCGCGUGGCCCUCCCCCAGCCCCUGCCCCUUAUCAGCUUCCUCCGCCCUCUGGCUGCACACAAAGGGCCGCGUACCUGGGCCGGGGGACGCGGUGACACAGGAUGUUCCCAGCAUUUUGGAUAUUUCCUCCCUGUCUGACUGAUGUGUCCUAGAGCGAGCGCCGGGAUUCUCCAGGGAGCCCGGGGCUGUAAAAAUCUCCACAACACGCUGCUCUGUGACACGGUCCACAUUUGACAGAAGAAGAAGCCAAGGCUGAUGGAGUGCAGUGGCCAGGUCAUGCUGCUGGUAGGUGGCAGGUCUGCAGGCUGCCAGAACCCAACUGCAUGGCAAGCCCAUAUGCCCCGUGCCAGGGAGUGCCACAGGCCAUGACCCCCAGUCUGUGGGGCUGUGUCCUGGCCUCGGGCUGUCUUCAGCACACUAAGACCUGGAGAGUGUGGGUCCUGACUGUCUUUCAGAGUCACGGGGCUGCCAGGGCCGGGGCCCAGCUGGACGGAGAGCAGGGGGCACAGACUCUGUCUCGGGGCUCUGCAGACAGGGAGGCUCCGUCCCCUUAACCCCAAGUGUGAUAGGAAAUCAGUUCAGGACAGGGACUGGCGGGGCAGAGGCGAUGCACCAGUGGGCACGCGCAUUGGGAGUCAGCUCUCCCUGGACCAGCGUGGCCAAUGAGAGCCCCUGGGUGUGCACAAUGCGGGUGCCAGGAUUCCAGAACAUUCUGUGCUUAGUCUGCUAACUGUGAACAGGCUAUGGUGCCUCUUCCAGGCUCGGGCUCCUCGGAGCUGCCCCUGGACUGGCGGGCACCUGCUCCUGGGUGUUGUGGAAGUGUAAAAGAGUGGCACGCUGAGCUCCCUUCUGUGCGGGGACCCCCGAUACACCCGGGUUUGCAGUGACAGGUCAGCCCUGGAGGCCUGAGAGGCGAGGUCCCCGUGGCAGGCCAGGAGCUUGGGACUUGGGGGCUGCACAAAGCCGGACACGGGCUGCAGGGGUCACCUCCCCUCAAGCGUCUCCUGCGUGUCCACACGCUGUUCCUGAGGCAUCCUCGGCCCUGUGUCAGCUCACAGGAUAGAUCUCAUGGUGUGGAGUGUCAGCUGAUAAGCUGGAUAAAUGUCUCACGAUGUGGAUAUGUUACACAGUGCGCUAUAUUGUGUGGCAAAGCUAACAACGUAAUGCGUGCAGAUGACAGUGAAUUAAGCUCACAGCAGGUCCUGAGGGGUUUGAGGACUCCCCAGGCAGUAGUGAGGCCAGAUGGGGUCACACCCGCCCACGCCCAGGUACUCAGGAAGAAGCACUGGGCUUCAGGAAGGCGAAGGCUGCUGUGACCCUGGGAGCCCCUGACAAGGUCAUCACAGCGCCAUGGCCAGGAAGGUGCAGGACAAGCUGCCUCAGCCACUUCCAGCAUUGCACUGAGGACAGCAGAGCCUGGACACCCACCGAGGAUCCCAGCCUUCACCUGGCCUGGGUGCUGGGAACCUGGGGGCUGCCGCUCCCUUCGGGCCCCAGAGAGACCAGGACUGCAUCCCCCUGGAGCUGCAUUCUGCAGCCCUGGACCAGACGCCCGAGCCACGCAUCCGCUCCUCCUGUGGUAGGAAGGAAAAACUCCAGACACAAUUAGAAGCCUUUAGGGGCAAGUGGAAAGUUCUCAGGAAAUGUAUUAUCAUUGGCUCAGCCUUCCCCUCUCGCUGGCCGGAGGGAGAGGGGUGCGUGGUGUUCGCCUCACCUGCGGGGCUAUUGCCCUGGCCCCUGCGUCCCAGCCCAGCUCUCCCCGCCAGACAGGAAAUAGGGUUCCCUUCUCCUGUGUCUGCGUCCCCCGACACAUUCUUAGGAGGAUCAUUGAGGCUGUCGGCCUUGAAGGAUGGACGCCCGGCCAAGGAGGCCCUGACGACCGUGUAGGUGCAGGGAUACCAUCUGAGCACCCUGUGCCUCAGUUUCCCCAUUUCAGGAUGGCCUGAGGCAGGAGGGCAUAGCUUGGAGGACAUUUUAGAGUCCUAAGAUUCUUUCUUUUGACAAAGAAAAUCCAGAGGCAGUUUGGGCUCUUGGUUAAAAGCAGAGCUCCCGGCCAGUGGUGGGGCCUCAGCCCCCCUAGACGUGAGACCUCAGAAAGUGGCUGCCCGCGCUGGGCCUCGGCUUCCCCGUCUGUAAGGGAGGUGAGAGGAGCGGGCAGAGGCGCGGGGCUCUGGCCUCUGGAGGAGGAGCGGGCAGUCUGCAGCCUGCUGGGCACCCGGAGGGGCCACCAACGCCCCAGGCUCUGAGGACUCUGCCGCCACCCUGCGUCCCUCUCCAGCAGACCCUGUGGGCUCCAGGGAAAGGGCCAGGGGCGGGGGCCGCCUGUCCACCCCAGCUGUCCCCUGGACACCAUCACUGCGCUUCAGCGCUGGUCCAGAAUUCAGCUUGGGGAAUGAGCCAUGAGCAGAGGUGACUGAGCCUGGCAGGCAUCUGGCAGCAAACGCACCACUGGAGAGCUGGAUCUGCGUGCCAAUUAUUCCUCCCCAACCCAUGCCUCAGUUUCCCCAAGUCUAGUUAGCUAUUCAGUUGCUUUGAGAAGCCCCGCGGAGAUGAGGGAGAGACUGUGGAUGUCAGCUUGGUGCCUGGCUCGUCCGACAGGCUCCGUGGUGGGUGCACACAUGGAUUGGUCCAAGGGCAGUGGGCCCUGGUCCCCCCAAGAAAUCAGCAGGAAAUGGGGUUCGUCCAGCGCCAUUGACCGAACCGUGGAGAACCACAGCAUCCCCAGAGGCAAGAGACGAUCAGCGGGGACCAGGAGGGCGAUGGCCCCGCCUGUGCCCUCCCGCCACUCCCCAGUGUGACUUUUUCACACACCAGGGUUGCUGCUGGCAGCCGCUGUGUGCAGCUCUGGGCCCACAUUUGAUCCCAGCCCUGCUACAGAGCUGGAGGCCACGUGGGCGCGCAGCUCCUGCUGUAUGGUGUGUGACACAAAGUCCAGGCGGCAUUUCAGGGUGCACCUGAGAACCGGAGGUGUUUAGAGUGGCUGUUAGAGCUUUCUGACGGUUCCAUCCCCUCGGAUAAACCCAGCUUCUGCGCUGCCUGCGGUCCCGAAAGCAUGUUGGAGGACACUUGGAGGACCUGGGGCACUGGGAGCUCCUCUGUCGCCACAGACACGGAGCAGUGGUGCUCUCGUAGCUGGGCCCUGCGGCUGUGGCCAGCACUGAGGGGGCGGGAAGACCCGCGGGAAGGCGCUUCUCCCCACACGCCCAGAAGCCUCCAUGAAUUCUGCUGCCCGGUCUAUACCUGGGGCCCCUCGUCUGUGUCAACCCUGCCUGUGCUGCAGGCUGGGUGGGGCACCCAAGCACCCAUGUCCAGCCUGGCCCGCCCAGCCUCCCUCUCCCAGCCUGGGCAUGACUACGGCAGCUACACACGGGGAAACUGAGGCUCACUCCAGGGUUUGUGCCUUCCUCAGGGUGCUGCCCGGGCAGCACCUUCCUUGGUUCCCUGCUGUGUCCUCGAGGACACCAGGGCCACACGGGCAGGAGGAGGCCUUGAAUCCUCCGGCUCAGGAAGAGCAAAUCCGCUCUCUGCUUUCCCAGAACCCAGGCUCCGCACUUGAGAAUGUGUUGUUUUUGAGCCGGAGCCCAUCGCGGGCCUGGACUUUGAUGAAAGAGGGCGGGUUGUUUUCCUAAAAGUGUUGGGACAGAGCCCAUGGAUCGGCAGGAUUUCAGGUGCGGUGACUCAGCCUCCCUGGUGGGGCCACCUUCCCGGCACGGCUGCACGUGGGACAGGGUUAGAAUCCGCGUUAGGGUUAGGGUUAGGGUUGGAGUUAGGGUUAGGGCUAGUGUGGGGUAGGGCUAGGGUUAGGCUUGGGCCUCUGGUUGGCAUUUGUGUUGGGGUCGAUGGAUGGCUUCCAGUUCUCAUCAGCGCUUCAGCAGUCCAUCCAGACGAUGCCCAAGAACCCACUGACCCUCAGUCCUCAGGAAGCCGCUUCCUGGUGACUCCUGAGGUUGGUGGCGAUCACCUGAGUGCCGCCCUCCUGAGUGGCAGAGAUGGAGCGCACGUCCUGUCCUGCAUCCUAGAUUCCAGGUUGUUUAAGAAACACAACAGGCACCUGCAUGCUGCUCAAGUGCUGGCCCUGGGUCCUACCUUGUAGAUACGCCUGCGCAAGAAGAUGCCAGAACUGAGCCCCAGCCGGGGAAGGCCGGACACAAGGCUUGGGAUGCGAGAAUCACACGGAGGUGGAGGGUGGGCUCGAGCGACUGGAGCUCUGUGAUCCCCGCUCCUCUCCCUGGGUGGUGGUGUCCACUCUGGUGACACUAGGCCUCGUGACUCAGUGUACCCAGGAGAGCCCCGCUGCUCUGACCCUGCUGAGCCGCUCUGCUCUUGGCCCUGAAGUACAAAACUGGUUUCUCCGCACAGAGCCUGGGACACAUCCUCCUUAGGGAAUGAUGAAGACAUGCGAUGGCCCUCCAGGCCCUAGCCGCGUGGCCCCGCUGCCCACGCAGACACAUGGCCCAGACAAGUAGAAUUCGCAUUCCCAAGACACACAGUAACCAGAGCAGUGACAGCCAUCCUGCGGGAGAAGACCCCGAGCACCCGCUAACCUGAUCCCGCUCCCCACGGAGUGCGUGCGUGCGUGCGUGCGUGCGUGUGUGUGUGUGCUGGUGGCUUCCGAGCUGCCAAGCUCGACAGUUCAUGGGCACAGAAAAUUCACGCACAAGGAUGGUGCUUUGGUCUGCAGAGCCGGGGGACGGUGCAGAGGGCAGAGAACGGGCACAGCCACACUGAGGGUCUUGCCCACAUCUUGCCAGAACGAGGCUGGGGCCCUACUUGUUCCUCUGAGACACCUGAACUCAGCUCUGCGCCAGAGCUGCCUGGUCUCAGGACCCGGCUCUGCCUGGAGGGGACUCAGGAGUCCCACACGUGGGGCCCCCUCCUCUCUCCUUAGGUUACUGUGUUCACAGACACAGAUACAUGCACAUACACACACAGACGUGCAUGUACACAGAUAUAUGCACACACAUGUGCACUCAUGUAGGCAUGCUUACUUACAUACAUACACGUGCACACACAGAGAUUCAUGUGUAUGCAUAAAUAUAUAUACACAUGAGCACACAGAUGUGUACAUGCAUAGAUAUACAUGUGUGUGCACACACGGACAUGCAAGUUCACGAUAUACAAGCAUGCACACACUGAGACAUGCAUAUACAUGCACACACGGGAAUAUACACAGACACACACAGAGACACAUGCACACACAGAGGCAUACAUACACAGGUGCACACAGAAGCACAGACACGGGCACACACAGAGGCACAGACAGACACAGACAGAAACACAGAUGCACACACACAUGCCCAAGCCCAACCUCUGCCCUCUCCGUGUUUUUCCACGUGAAAUGCACGCGGUGUGAAGCCGGCCACGCUGCCUGGUCUCUGCUCUCUCUGCUCUCACCGAAGUCGCCAGGCUCCUGUAGAAGGACGUUGGUUUGUGGCUGGGCGGAGUCUCUGCCCCUCCCGCCCAGUCUCUGGGGACGCAGUGCCCCUGGGGAGCCGCGCUACCUCUGGGGCCGACUAGUCUGCCUGUUGUCUUGCACGAUGCCUUGCAUUAGAAGAAGUGGAGACGCCCAGUCUUCGCAGGCCGGCUUUGCAGAGCUGUUUGGAAAGGAGCUGUCUGUGCAGUGAGGGCGUUUGCAGUCCUGUGCGCCCCCCACACCCUGCAGCUCCAGAGAGCUCCAUCGCCCCAAAGUGAGCUCUCUCCUGGGGAAGAAGCUUCGUCUUAUUCCUCUCUCGCCACCAAGGUGAUUUCUGCCUUGGUCGGCGGAGCUGGCCUGCACUGCUUGUGUAAGUGGGAUCAUACAAUACGCACUCUUAGGGGAUCCCCCUCCUUUGACUUAGUGCAGGGUGCUGAAGGUUCACCAAUGCUGCUGAGUGCCAGCACUCCCUCUUUUUCACAAGAGAGUAAUAUUCCACAGUGUGAGUAGACCACAUUCCGUGUCUCAUUCAUCUGCUGAAGGACAUUUGAAUUGUUUGCACUUCGGGGCUAUUGUCAGUAAGGCCCCCAGGACCCGUCGAGGAGAUGUCUUUGUUGGAGUCUGAUUUAAAUUCUCAGCCAUAUAUCCAUGAGUGGCACUGCCCUGGCGCUAGGGUCCCCUGUCUUGGAACUGCCAAGCCACCUCCCCCCAUCAGCUGUGCUCUGGUCCAUGUGCCCAAACACGACCCGUGACCUGUGAUCCCUGACCCUGACCCAGGGACUCCUCUUUGUGUCCACUGUGACAGAGGGACCACUGGGGACACACAGGUGGCCCUGGGUGCAGGCACACGGGUGAAGGGGCAUCCAUGAAGACUGGGGGCCAUGCUGAACCCAGCUGUGGUCUGUGACCAGGGGUCACCCUUGUGCCCCACAGUUGCCUGGCAGGCUCAACACUGGUGAGAGGCCACUCGGGCAUGGGGACCGCAGGUGUCACCCAGUCCCCACCAGCAGGGGAUCGGCAGGGGCCCAGGGGGCUGGGGUGUGGCCUCUCGGUGCCGGGGGAGGAGGGAGGUCAGUGGGGGCUGCAGGCCUGCCUCGGGCACUCGGUAGCCCCAUGAGGAGACCCCUACUGACCAGGCGGCAGAUGGGUAAACUGAGGACCCCGGGGGUAGGUCCAGACAAGUGCUGGCCCCAGAACUCCCACCAAGUACUUUCCUAGAAACGGCUCCCGCCAAGGCCACCUCCAGCCCUCCCACGUCCCUGUGAUGGCCAGGCAGUCCGGCCGCGCGAUGCCCGCAGGCCCUGGGCAGUUGGGAGGCUCUGGCCCGGGGAUGUUUGUUUUUGCCCCUUUGUGAGUGUUUCCAUUUGCUCUGGAAAAACAAACCUCGAUGUGCUGUGCAGUUUCAAAGCCACCGCCGGGUGCAAGAUAUCCGCUGCGGGGCCGCGCCGGGCCCGGGCGUUAUUUCAGACGUAUUGAUUUUUAUCAGCCUUCGACCUCAUUUAUUUAUGAAAAACAUCGGACUCCAAACAUGGUGCUUUGAAGACUGCAGUGAUAAGCGACCCCACGAGUCCCCAAAGUGUCCAGAGCGGGCCUGGCCCUGCCCUGGCCAGCUGUGAGCAGAGGCUCCUGGCUGGUGGACGCUUCCGGGAACUGGCAACAUCAGAGCCCGUGGGUCCGCGCCGCUGCGUCACCCGAGCAGGGCCAGGGCGGGGAGGGGCUUUGGGCUUGUGGCGCCUUUGGGGUGCUCAAGGGUGGGGGAGCCACGGUCAAGGUCACAGUCACGGUCGGCAGGGGCUCCUGAGCAGACUGGCCAGGAGAGCUCAGUCCCAGCCCCUCUGUACUCCGGGCCGGUCCUCUGCAGCUGGGCUUCCUUGGAGAUGAAGUGGCUGGGACGGAGAUCCAGGGAGGGACCAUCCGAGCUCAGGCAGGAGCCGCAGGUUCCUCAGGAGGGACGGCUGCUGGGCCCUGGCAGGGAGAUCCCCGGGAGCCGCAGCCCCUCUCCACCAUGGGCGGCCCUGUCUCCUGCCCGGCUUCCUCCUUAGGCAGCUGUGACCCUAGACGUGGAAACUCUCCCCAGUGCCCGCACGUGGCCUCUCUGGAUUCCUAGGCAUGGUGACUUCUGGAACAUUGCACCCACGGUGACUCAGAACCCGAGGCAAGAGCUUUGCUUCCCGUGGGAACAAGCAUCCAGGGAGAGCAGGGGCCAUGGGGACUGCUUGGCCAGCUUCCGGCACUGGGCACUGAUGGAGACACGCAGAAUGGCCCUCCAUCUGGAGGGGCAGUGACAGUGCACCCCACUCUGCCUGCCCUGGUUGAUACACAAGCGUGGCCCCUGGGCUCCGCUGCCCUCCUGGUUCCUGCAGGCUGCUGGGGCUGUGGCUGUGCAUGCACAGAAAUGAAACAACCAAAGUUGUCCCUCUGCAGAGGGGAAACUGAGGCUCAGAGCAGCAGGGAUUGUGUGCUGGUAGGUGUGGGGCAAGAACCUAGGCCGGUCCUCAGGCCCAGUCAGCAGCCCAGCCCCACGGCCUGUCCCUCGGACCCAUCUACACCGCGUGUCCGGGACGGGCAGAUCUGUGCGGACGGAGAGCAGAUCCGAGGUGCCUGGUUUCCUUCCAGAAAGAUGACAAUGUCUCCAGUUGACUCAGGUGGUCCUAAAUUGUGGAGAGCUGCCGGACUCUGUGAGGGCUGUAUACCUUCAGUGACAUGUGAAGGACUUUUUAAUAAAACGUUUUUCAAAAAGGCGGCAGGGAUGAGGUCCCUGACGCGGGCUCUUCGGUGACUUCCUGAGCUGCCUGCCUGGCCCCGUCCUGGGUGUGCAGCCGCUACCCCAGGACCUGGGCCCAGGCUGCUCUUGGGGGACGCCAUGGCCACAGGGGCCUGGCCGGCCGGGCCGGGUGUGCAUCUCCAGGCUCAGCCGCGGGUGCCGGGCGGCCUGCGUCUCCCUGGGUGUCUGCAGGGCCAGGAGGACAGGUGGGGUGUGCGGCUGCCCAGCCACUCUCUGACCUGCCAUGUCUUGGCCUCAGGCACCCCGUAAACACCUCGUCCUCAUUCUUUUUUCCUUUGGCCCAGCCUGAGAGCAGCGAUGGAGGCCCAGGGCUCAGUGCUCAGCAGCUCCUCGGCCUGAGGAUCCAGUGAACUGCAGUGAGAUGUGCGUGGAGACCGCUCUGCUCCAGGGACGCGUUCUCGAGGGGCCCCCGAAAGGCACGACAGCCAGGCCUGGGUUUGCUGCGGAACGUAGCUGGGGACGGAAGGACGGAUGAAGCCUCCUCCCUGCAGGGUCCGUCUUGCCCUCCUUGGGCUGGCCCCGUGCCUGUUUAGUCCCUCACUGGGCUCCCUGUGGUGCUCCCUGAAGCACCCCUGUGCCCUCACCUUGGGCAGCGCUCAGGGCCUGUCUGGUGGUGGCUGUGGCGGUGUGGCUGUGUGAUAAGAUUCACAGUGCCAUGGUUGCCCUGGGAGGACGGCUGCCCCACCGAUGCCCAGACCGCGCUGCCGGCGACCCCACCGGUCCACAGGAUGGGCUCCUUGGCAGGCCUCACUCUCAUCUGCUGUGGCCAGAUUCCCAAACACCGCCGUCCUGCCUACGCCCUGAGUGGGAAGGGAGGGUGCAGGGCCAGGAUGGGGGUGGCGGGCGGAGGCUGCAGAGCCUCCCCACCCUGCACUCGGAGGUGGAUGAGGAAGGAUGGGAAAGGAGAAGGAGGAACUGAGGAGGAGGAGAAGAGGAAAGAGGAGGAGGAUGCUCUGAGGCGCUGACUGGCUCCCGUCAGCUCUGCUCUGUGGGCUCAGGAGGCAGGGAAGGGGCCAAGUAGGACAGCUUGGGCCGGGCCCUGUGUCCACUCCUGAGCGGUCAGCAGUUCCAGACUGGAAGCACGAGGUGGGGACAGACAUGUCCAGAAGGACAGAGGCUAUGAGGAUGGGUGGCCCACGCUGGUCCCGGGGCUAUCAGUGCUCAGGAGGGGAAGGACACACACACGGGGACCCGAUUCCUCCCGGCUCAUUGGUCCAGGAUGGCCAGACCCUGGGCGCACAGAGCGGCCCCCUCAGCAUGGGCUGGGCUGUCCUCCUCCUCCCUGCCUCCCGUGUCUCCUUAGGGCCCCUGGGCUCAGGAAGUCGGGCUGAGCACAGGUGGGGGUGGGAUCUCAGCAGGGGUCAUGAGUGAGUGACCCCCUUGGACAGGACACCUCGUGGGCAGUGGAGACAAAGGGGGCUCUGCGGAGCCCUCAGGGCUCCCAGCAAGUGCGGAGAAGUGAGACAUUUGUCUACUCUGAGGGUGACUGUCCAGUGCUGACCGAUGGGAACAGUGGGCCUCCCACCAACAGUGGUCACUCAGCCGGAGAGAUGGCCCUGCAACAGCCUGACCUCGGCUUGACCAGUGUGUCUGUCCUCAGAGACCCAGUUCCAAGUGAGACUGUGCCCUGAGGUCCCAGCAGCUGGGGAGUCAGUGUGUGGAUUAGGGGUGACGCAGUUCACCCCGUAACAGGUGGGGGACAGCAGAGCAGGCUGCCUUGCUGCAGGGAGAUGCUGGGAUCCCCGGUCAGUGCUCCUGAUGGGUGGCACAGCCGGUGUCCCUGGGCCAGUGUGGGACGCGGCCCCAGGAGGGUCCCCGGGGAUGCUUGGGCUUGGUGCCCGGGCCUCAUGCAGCCUCUGGCAGCACCAGGCUCCUCUUGCUGGCUGUGGGGUCCAUCACCGCCUCAGAGCUCCAGCUAGCUCCACCCAGCGGCUCCAGACCCCACCUGCCUGUGGGGAGGGGAGGGCGUGCGCCCAGCCCAGCCCAGCCCAGCCCAGCGGCUCCACGGCAGUGACUGUGUCCACCUCUGACCCCAGAGCCGCAGGGACUCCCGGAGCACCCAGGGCCUGAGCGCUGCCGUGGCUUUAGCGUGGAGUCCCCGGAGCCCGCGCUGGCCAGCCGGCUCCUCCCCCGGGACAAUCCAUCUCCGCUUCUUGCUGUCUAGACUUGUUAUCUGGCCCUAAUUCCUGUGAGCUGAGCAGGCGGCAGCGGGCCUCGAGAUAGCAAGGGGAUGAGGUCAUGGGCGUAAAUCCUGAGGCAGGAAGUCCAUUCCGGGACGAUGGAUGAGCGGGCCGGUGCCCGCGCGGGGCGAGAUAACGUGUCUAGACUGCGGCCAUUUCCUCCUCUUCCUCGGCCGUGUCGGGCCUGCCCUGCCUUCCUGUGCCCUGCGUCCGUGCCUCCGGGAGAAGCCCCUCGGGGUUGCCUCUGCUCCGCUGGGGCCGCUGCUCCUCCGGGCCUCCCUCGGGAGUGAGUCCUUCUCCAAGUCCCUGGUGACCGCAGGCCUUUCUGCAGAGGUCACACCGCUUCUGCCACUGUGUCAUUUUGGAGAGUUCAGCGGGUGAGCGGAGGAUGACGUUUGUUCUCCCCGAGUCCAGAGGUCUCUGGGAGGCCAGGGGCAGACGGGGCACUCGGCUGAUGUAAAACAGACACGGUGAUUUCUGCACCUCCGAGGGAAGCACCUUAUCUCAGCUGCCCAGGGCUGCAGGACACUGAGCAACCUCAGGUUUCCGGAACAAGGAGCUCUGCUCGAGUCCGGUGCGGCCGGCUCAGCGCUGGGCGGUCAGGUCCUUCAGCUCGGGGGCCAACACUGAAGGGCGCAGGGUGCGGGAGAAAUUGGCCCCCAAUGGCAGCUGCGGGAAGCCCCUGAACGCCAGAGCCCGAGGCUCAGAGCCACUGCACACUGGACACCUGGGCCAGCAGUCACAGAUUGCAGAGCCCAGCAGUCACAAUGACAGAAGGAAAAGGAACAGGACACUCCUGGGCACAGGGUCACGCCCAGCCCGCUGCAGUGUCGUUCAGCCACGACCAGGACUGUGGGCUCCCAUGGGGCACAGACGGUCACCGUGGCAGCUACCUCGGGACUCAGCGGAGAGGCGUCUGCGGGAGCCACGGCUGUAGGAAGUGCAGUAGAGUUCAGGCCCAGCCCUCGUGAGAGCCGCUCAACCACCCGGGUCCACUCUGAGACCCGGCUCCCACGGCCUCUGUCCUGUGUGCAGCAUGGAUGUCCGCCAGUGGCCCUUCCUGUCCCCCUGCACAGCCACUCCUUCAUGCCUAGGGGGUGCAGGGACCUGGCUUCCCUUUCCCUCCCUACCCUGGGGCUGGCUGAGUACCAGACAUGCGUGAUUGGCAGCAGAAAAAGCUGCACAGUGACGGCCAGGACAGCAAACCUGGGAAUGUGGCCUGCUGAUGCCCAAGGUCACCCACUGCGGGCAGAGCCAUGGCUGGAGGGGGACCCAGGAAAGGAGACUCAACGAACAGCAGGGACUGGACCCCAAAGUGACUGGAGCCCCAGAUGGUCACAGCAGGGUCCACUGAUGCUACACAGCCCCCAGGAAAAGUUGUGUUUAUAGCAAGGGGGCGCUUGGCAGGAGACAGCAAUGAGGUCCUGAACUGUCGUGCAGGGAAUAGCAUGCAGGUGUGAAAAAGAGGGGACAUUUGUACCUCACAGAAAAGUCAACAAAAUAUAUUCAAGGAAAUC
Molecule: long non-coding RNA, 11995 nt
Organism: Cavia porcellus (domestic guinea pig)
Lineage: Eukaryota; Metazoa; Chordata; Mammalia; Rodentia; Caviidae
Exons: 2
Source: RefSeq, a predicted model, not a curated record